This 24-nucleotide microRNA is filed under the name Bombyx mori (domestic silkworm). Its description in RNAcentral is "bmo-miR-3381-5p". Lineage: Eukaryota; Metazoa; Arthropoda; Insecta; Lepidoptera; Bombycidae. The record is from miRBase by way of RNAcentral.
UCAAGAUUCCUCGCAAAGGUUCAC